GCAUAGAUAGUGUAAUGGCAGCACAAUAGUCUCCAAAACUAUUUGUAGAGGUUCGAAUCCUUUUCUAUGUG
Molecule: transfer RNA, 71 nt
Filed under: Flavobacteriaceae bacterium
Lineage: Bacteria; Pseudomonadati; Bacteroidota; Flavobacteriia; Flavobacteriales; Flavobacteriaceae
Description: tRNA-Trp
Rfam family: tRNA
About the family: Transfer RNA (tRNA) molecules are approximately 80 nucleotides in length. Their secondary structure includes four short double-helical elements and three loops (D, anti-codon, and T loops).
Source: RNAcentral